This 450-nucleotide ribosomal RNA is filed under the name uncultured bacterium. Its description in RNAcentral is "bacterial SSU rRNA". It matches the Rfam family "Bacterial small subunit ribosomal RNA", at positions 955 to 1406 of the family's 1533-position model. The record is from RNAcentral.
CGCAACGCGAAGAACCUUACCCAGGCUCGAACGGCAACUGACAUUCGACGAAAGUCGGCUCCCGCAAGGGCAGUUGUCGAGGUGCUGCAUGGCUGUCGUCAGCUCGUGUCGUGAGAUGUUGGGUUAAGUCCCGCAACGAGCGCAACCCUUGUCCUCUGUUGCCAUCACGUUAUGGUGGGCACUCUGAGGAGACUGCCGGUGAUAAACCGGAGGAAGGUGGGGAUGACGUCAAGUCAGCAUGGCCUUUAUGUCUGGGGCUACACACGUGCUACAAUGGCCGGUACAAACCGUUGCGAUCCCGCAAGGGGGAGCUAAUCGGAGAAAACUGGUCUCAGUUCGGAUUGCAGGCUGCAACUCGCCUGCAUGAAGUUGGAAUCGCUAGUAAUCGCGGAUCAGCACGCCGCGGUGAAUACGUUCCCGGGCCUUGUACACACCGCCCGUCACAUCACG